UCCCUGGUGGCUCAGAGGUUAAAGCGUCUGCCUGCAAUGAAGGAGACCUAGGUUCAAUCCCUUGGUUGGGAA
Molecule: transfer RNA, 72 nt
Filed under: Ovis aries (sheep)
Lineage: Eukaryota; Metazoa; Chordata; Mammalia; Artiodactyla; Bovidae
Rfam family: tRNA
About the family: Transfer RNA (tRNA) molecules are approximately 80 nucleotides in length. Their secondary structure includes four short double-helical elements and three loops (D, anti-codon, and T loops).
Source: Rfam by way of RNAcentral